RNAcentral lists this ribosomal RNA (449 nucleotides) under uncultured bacterium. Its description in RNAcentral is "partial 16S ribosomal RNA". It matches the Rfam family "Bacterial small subunit ribosomal RNA", at positions 29 to 523 of the family's 1533-position model. The record is from RNAcentral.
AACGAACGCUGGCGGCAGGCCUAACACAUGCAAGUCGAGCGAGGACUUCGGUCCUAGCGGCGGACGGGUGAGUAGCGCGUGGGAACGUGCCCCUUGGUACGGAAUAGCCCCGGGAAACUGGGAGUAAUACCGUAUGAGCCCUACGGAGGAAAGAUUUAUCGCCAAGGGAUCGGCCCGCGUUGGAUUAGGUAGUUGGUGGGGUAAUGGCCUACCAAGCCGACGAUCCAUAGCUGGUUUGAGAGGAUGAUCAGCCACACUGGGACUGAGACACGGCCCAGACUCCUACGGGAGGCAGCAGUGGGGAAUCUUAGACAAUGGGCGCAAGCCUGAUCUAGCCAUGCCGCGUGAGCGAUGAAGGCCUUAGGGUUGUAAAGCUCUUUCAGCUGGGAAGAUAAUGACUGUACCAGCAGAAGAAGCCCCGGCUAACUCCGUGCCAGCCGCCGCCGUAA